UUGUGAGGUUAAGCGACUAAGCGUACACGGUGGAUGCCCUGGCAGUCAGAGGCGAUGAAGGACGUGCUAAUCUGCGAUAAGCGUCGGUGAGGUGAUAUGAACCGUUAUAACCGGCGAUUUCCGAAUGGGGAAACCCAGUGUGUUUCGACACACUAUCAUUAACUGAAUCCAUAGGUUAAUGAGGCGAACCGGGGGAACUGAAACAUCUAAGUACCCCGAGGAAAAGAAAUCAACCGAGAUUCCCCCAGUAGCGGCGAGCGAACGGGGAGGAGCCCAGAGCCUGAAUCAGUGUGUGUGUUAGUGGAAGCGUCUGGAAAGGCGCGCGAUACAGGGUGACAGCCCCGUACACAAAAAUGCACAUAUUGUGAGCUCGAUGAGUAGGGCGGGACACGUGGUAUCCUGUCUGAAUAUGGGGGGACCAUCCUCCAAGGCUAAAUACUCCUGACUGACCGAUAGUGAACCAGUACCGUGAGGGAAAGGCGAAAAGAACCCCGGCGAGGGGAGUGAAAAAGAACCUGAAACCGUGUACGUACAAGCAGUGGGAGCCUCUUAAUGGGGUGACUGCGUACCUUUUGUAUAAUGGGUCAGCGACUUAUAUUCUGUAGCAAGGUUAACCGAAUAGGGGAGCCGAAGGGAAACCGAGUCUUAACUGGGCGUUAAGUUGCAGGGUAUAGACCCGAAACCCGGUGAUCUAGCCAUGGGCAGGUUGAAGGUUGGGUAACACUAACUGGAGGACCGAACCGACUAAUGUUGAAAAAUUAGCGGAUGACUUGUGGCUGGGGGUGAAAGGCCAAUCAAACCGGGAGAUAGCUGGUUCUCCCCGAAAGCUAUUUAGGUAGCGCCUCGUGAAUUCAUCUCCGGGGGUAGAGCACUGUUUCGGCAAGGGGGUCAUCCCGACUUACCAACCCGAUGCAAACUGCGAAUACCGGAGAAUGUUAUCACGGGAGACACACGGCGGGUGCUAACGUCCGUCGUGAAGAGGGAAACAACCCAGACCGCCAGCUAAGGUCCCAAAGUCAUGGUUAAGUGGGAAACGAUGUGGGAAGGCCCAGACAGCCAGGAUGUUGGCUUAGAAGCAGCCAUCAUUUAAAGAAAGCGUAAUAGCUCACUGGUCGAGUCGGCCUGCGCGGAAGAUGUAACGGGGCUAAACCAUGCACCGAAGCUGCGGCAGCGACGCUUAUGCGUUGUUGGGUAGGGGAGCGUUCUGUAAGCCUGUGAAGGUGUGCUGUGAGGCAUGCUGGAGGUAUCAGAAGUGCGAAUGCUGACAUAAGUAACGAUAAAGCGGGUGAAAAGCCCGCUCGCCGGAAGACCAAGGGUUCCUGUCCAACGUUAAUCGGGGCAGGGUGAGUCGACCCCUAAGGCGAGGCCGAAAGGCGUAGUCGAUGGGAAACAGGUUAAUAUUCCUGUACUUGGUGUUACUGCGAAGGGGGGACGGAGAAGGCUAUGUUGGCCGGGCGACGGUUGUCCCGGUUUAAGCGUGUAGGCUGGUUUUCCAGGCAAAUCCGGAAAACCAAGGCUGAGGCGUGAUGACGAGGCACUACGGUGCUGAAGCAACAAAUGCCCUGCUUCCAGGAAAAGCCUCUAAGCAUCAGGUAACAUCAAAUCGUACCCCAAACCGACACAGGUGGUCAGGUAGAGAAUACCAAGGCGCUUGAGAGAACUCGGGUGAAGGAACUAGGCAAAAUGGUGCCGUAACUUCGGGAGAAGGCACGCUGAUAUGUAGGUGAAGCGACUAGCUCGUGGAGCUGAAAUCAGUCGAAGAUACCAGCUGGCUGCAACUGUUUAUUAAAAACACAGCACUGUGCAAACACGAAAG
This 1816-nucleotide ribosomal RNA is filed under the name Escherichia coli. RNAcentral describes it as "partial 23S ribosomal RNA". It matches the Rfam family "Bacterial large subunit ribosomal RNA", at positions 1 to 1837 of the family's 2925-position model. Lineage: Bacteria; Pseudomonadati; Pseudomonadota; Gammaproteobacteria; Enterobacterales; Enterobacteriaceae. The record is from RNAcentral.